Long non-coding RNA from Xenia sp. Carnegie-2017, 394 nucleotides. RefSeq lists it as uncharacterized. The transcript is spliced from 3 exons. The record is from RefSeq and is a predicted model, not a curated record. NCBI's taxonomy places the organism in Eukaryota, Metazoa, Cnidaria, Anthozoa, Malacalcyonacea, Xeniidae.
AUUCUUGGUUUACUGCCUUCCCAAAGAGUCGUAGUGCUUCUAAAGCAAGAAUAUCCAGUGGUAGUUCAUGGUGUGCUUCUGCUGCAGAUGGCAAUCAUUAUCUUCAACUGAAUUUCCCGAGUCUUUAUACAGUUAACGUUAUCGCAAUCUUUGGGGACAGUUCAAGUUCAAGCUUUGUAACUAAAUAUCACUUGCAGACAAACAUUGAUGGUGUGAACUGGAAAUCUGAAAAAUCCCAGAAGAUUUAUCUAGGAAACAAAAAUAGUUACAAUGAUGCGGCUAUAAAAAAGUUUUCUGGUGGCCUUAAAUCUAAAGCUUUGCGAAUCUUUCCAUUGAAAUUUGUUGGUGCACCGUGUUUACGAAUUGAAAUUUGUGGUGGAGACUUACUCCCAGA